GCCAGGCGUGGUGGCUCACGCCUGUAAUCCCAGCACUUUGGGAGGCUGAGGCGGGCAGAUCACCUGAGGUCAGGAGUUCGAGACCAGCCUGACCAACAUGGAGAAACCCCAUCUCUACUAAAAAUACAAAAUUAGCCGGGUAUGGUGGCACAUGCCUGUAAUCCCAGCACUUUGGGAGGCUGAGGUGGGCAGAUCACCUGAGGUCAGGAGUUCGAGACCAGCCUGACCAACAUGGAGAAACCCCACCUCU
Molecule: small RNA, 250 nt
Filed under: Gorilla gorilla gorilla (western lowland gorilla)
Lineage: Eukaryota; Metazoa; Chordata; Mammalia; Primates; Hominidae
Description: Metazoan signal recognition particle RNA (ENSGGOG00000040225.1)
Source: RNAcentral